CAGCAGCCGCGGGAAUACGAAGGGGGCUAGCGUUGCUCGGAAUGACUGGGCGUAAAGGGCGCGUAGGCGGUUUGCACAGUUGGAUGUGAAAUUCCUGGGCUUAACCUGGGGGCUGCAUUCAAUACGUGUGGGCUUGAGUGGGGAAGAGGGUCGUGGAAUUCCCAGUGUAGAGGUGAAAUUCGUAGAUAUUGGGAAGAACACCGGUGGCGAAGGCGGCGACCUGGUCCUUGACUGACGCUGAGGCGCGAAAGCGUGGGGAGCAAACAGGAUAAGAUACCCCCGUAGUCCCUGUCUCUUAUAC
This 301-nucleotide ribosomal RNA is filed under the name uncultured bacterium. RNAcentral describes it as "partial 16S ribosomal RNA". It matches the Rfam family "Bacterial small subunit ribosomal RNA", at positions 509 to 807 of the family's 1533-position model. The record is from RNAcentral.